AAGGAGCCGUGCCUAUGCAGAGGCUCAGAACUAGGCACACUCAGGCUUCAUACCAGCUUAACCAGUUUGCUGCCUAGGUUGGCCAAGCAGCACAGGCAGGCCCAGACACCGCAGAAGAUUAGGCUUAGGAAUCGCUCCCUCGUAGCUCUCCACUCCAGGGCAAAAAUCAAGUUGCCUCCCGCCCCGGCAGCGCAGCCAGCGGUUGGGAAAUUAACGGCUGCACAGGCAGGCGCCGCGCGAGCCCGACCCGCCCGGCUGCAAGGCGCAACGGCUGCCUCGUGGCAAGCGCGUACCGCGCCACAAAGAAACGCGCCGCGCGCAGCGCUGCGGCCAACGGGCCCGCGCGAGGGCGGCCCGGCGCAACCCGCCUCCACAUCCCACGAGCCGUCGCCGCCGCUCGCCCGCCGCCGGGGCUUCGCGCACCCGGGGCUCCCGCCGCGGAAAACCCGCCCCGGCCCCGGGACCCCGGCGCCGGCCCGAGAUGGCGGCCGGACCUGCCGCCACCGCCGCCGCCACCUGCCGGGCGGGCGGGGACCGCCCCGCGCCCCUUUGUGCCUCCGGCAGCCGCGGCCCGAGGCGGGAAAGGAGCGGAGGGCGCCCGGCAGCGCCGGUGCCGCCGCGGGAGGCCGGCGGGGAGGUGAGGAGAGGCGGGCGGGCGGGCGCCGGCACGGCGCCGCCGCCCUCCCGCACCUGGCGGGGCCGCGCGGCUCGUCCCCUACCUGCUGCCCGCGGGUAGCUGCGCGCAGCCCCCGGCUCCGCCAUCUUCCUCGGCCAGUGCCGAGCGCCGCUUUGCCGCGUCCCGCCACCGCCGCCGGGGCUCCGCUGCGCUCCGCGGCGCCCAGCGGCCGCCGUACAGGCGCACUGCCCGCCCCGCGGCACCUAACACGGCGCUGCGGGAGGGGGGGAGAGCGCUGGGGCCGGGCACGGCUGCCUGCCUGGUGCCACACGGCGGCAGCGGCGGUGGUGGUGGUUCCUCCGCCCGCGCUGGGCGGCGGCGGCGGCUCCCGCGCCGCCAGGUGCUGCCGCGGCCCCGCCCCGGCGCGGGGCGGGAGGGGGAGGAUAGAGGGGGGUGUCCGUGAAGCCCCCGGGAGCCUCGGGGCGAAGCUGCCGGGGCCCCGGGCGGUCCCGGCCGCCGCGGGGCGCCACAGUGGGGAAGGGCGAGCGCCGGGGGCUGCGAGAGUUUAA
Molecule: long non-coding RNA, 1185 nt
Filed under: Apteryx haastii (Great spotted kiwi)
Lineage: Eukaryota; Metazoa; Chordata; Aves; Apterygiformes; Apterygidae
Description: lncRNA (ENSAHAG00000008158.1)
Source: RNAcentral